This 482-nucleotide ribosomal RNA is filed under the name uncultured bacterium. Its description in RNAcentral is "partial 16S ribosomal RNA". It matches the Rfam family "Bacterial small subunit ribosomal RNA", at positions 28 to 523 of the family's 1533-position model. The record is from RNAcentral.
GACGAACGCUGGCGGCGUGCUUAACACAUGCAAGUCGAACGGUAAGGCCCUUCGGGGUACACGAGUGGCGAACGGGUGAGUAACACGUGGGUGAUCUGCCCUGCACUUCGGGAUAAGCCUGGGAAACUGGGUCUAAUACCGGAUAGGACCACUGCCUGCAUGGGUGGUGGUGGAAAGCUUUUGCGGUGUGGCGGGGAUGGGCCCGCGGCCUAUCAGCUUGGUGGUGGGGUGAUGGCCUACCAAGGCGACGACGGGUAGCCGGCCUGAGAGGGUGACCGGCCAAACUGGGACUGAGAGACGCCCCAGAGUCCUACGGGAGGCAGCGGUGGGUAAUAUUGCACUAUGGGCGGAAGCCUGAUGCAGCGACGCCGCGUGAGGGAUGACGGCCUUCGGGUUGUAAACCUCUUUCAGCACCGACGAAGCGCAAGUGACGGUAGGUGCAGAAGAAGGACCGGCCAACUACGUGCCAGCCGCCGCCGUAA